GACGAACGCUGGCGGCGUGCUUAACACAUGCAAGUCGAACGGAAAGGCCCUGCUUGCAGGGUACUCGAGUGGCGAACGGGUGAGUAACACGUGGGUGAUCUGCCCUGCACUUCGGGAUAAGCCUGGGAAACUGGGUCUAAUACCGGAUAGGAGCCAUUUUUAGUGUGAUGGUUGGAAAGUUUUUUCGGUGUAGGAUGAGCUCGCGGCCUAUCAGCUUGUUGGUGGGGUAAUGGCCUACCAAGGCGGCGACGGGUAGCCGGCCUGAGAGGGUGGACGGCCACAUUGGGACUGAGAUACGGCCCAGACUCCUACGGGAGGCAGCAGUGGGGAAUAUUGCCCAAUGGGCGCCAGCCUGAUGCAGCGACGCCGCGUGGGGGAUGACGGCCUUCGGGUUGUAAACUCCUUUCGCUAGGGACGAAGCUUUUUGUGACGGUACCUAGAUAAGAAGCACCGGCUAACUACGUG
RNAcentral lists this ribosomal RNA (465 nucleotides) under uncultured bacterium. Its description in RNAcentral is "partial 16S ribosomal RNA". It matches the Rfam family "Bacterial small subunit ribosomal RNA", at positions 28 to 507 of the family's 1533-position model. The record is from RNAcentral.